RNAcentral lists this ribosomal RNA (435 nucleotides) under uncultured bacterium. RNAcentral's name for it is "partial 16S ribosomal RNA". It matches the Rfam family "Bacterial small subunit ribosomal RNA", at positions 29 to 507 of the family's 1533-position model. The record is from RNAcentral.
AACGAACGCUGGCGGCAUGCCUAACACAUGCAAGUCGAACGAUUGCCUUCGGGUGAUAGUGGCGCACGGGUGCGUAACGCGUGGGAAUCUGCCCUUAGGUUCGGAAUAACAGCUGGAAACGGCUGCUAAUACCGGAUGAUAUCGCGAGAUCAAAGAUUUAUCGCCUGAGGAUGAGCCCGCGUUGGAUUAGGUAGUUGGUGGGGUAAAGGCCUACCAAGCCGACGAUCCAUAGCUGGUCUCAGAGGAUGAUCAGCCACACUGGGACUGAGACACGGCCCAGACUCCUACGGGAGGCAGCAGUGGGGAAUAUUGGACAAUGGGCGCAAGCCUGAUCCAGCAAUGCCGCGUGAGUGAUGAAGGCCCUAGGGUUGUAAAGCUCUUUUACCCGGGAAGAUAAUGACUGUACCGGGAGAAUAAGCCCCGGCUAACUCCGUG